GCGGUAUUUCUGACCGUGCGAAGGUAGCAUAAUCAUUAGUCUUUUAAUUGAAGGCUUGUAUGAAAGGUUGGACGAGAGAAAAGCUGUCUCAGUUAGAAUUUUGAAAUUAACUUUUAAGUGAAAAGGCUUAAAUGCAUUGAAAAGACGAUAAGACCCUAUAAAUCUUAAAUACUAACAUAAACUAAAUUUUUAAUCUGUUUGUUARUARAAAWAUUAUAUUAGUAGUAUUUUGUUGGGGCGACAAAAAUAUAGAAUAAUUACCUGUUUUAUUUUURAUACAAUUUUUUUUGUUCAAAAAAGAUCCUUUUUARAGAUUARAARAUUAAGUUACUUUAGGGAUAACAGCGUUAUUCUCUUUGAGAGUCCACAUCGAAAARAGAGUUUGCGACCUCGAUGUUGAAUUAAAAUUUCUUUAUGGUGCAGCAGCUAUAAAAGAGAGUCUGUUCGACUU
Molecule: ribosomal RNA, 451 nt
Filed under: Dardanus lagopodes
Lineage: Eukaryota; Metazoa; Arthropoda; Malacostraca; Decapoda; Diogenidae
Description: partial 16S ribosomal RNA
Rfam family: Bacterial large subunit ribosomal RNA
Source: RNAcentral